GGUCACCUGGUCCACAAAAAGGGCAGCAUCCUCACUGAAGGGAACAUAGAGACCUUCCAUGCUGCGCUGGAGAGCUUGCUUGGCGACCAUGACCCCGAGGUCGGGAGAGUUGCCUGCAAGACAGAGAAGAUCGUGAAGAAGGCCUUUUCCCUCCACUCCCGGCACGGGCUGCGGGCUGCCGUUCGGCGCUUGUGGGCGGGCUGUAAGAAGAAGAGACACCCGCCAGAGUACGGUGAUCUCUCCACCUGACCGACUGGAACAACAGCCCCGUGCUCUCCCCUUGAAGAUCAGCAGCUGAAGGGAGGUUCAGGAAAGACCGUGCAGCGCAGGGGCCUCCCAGAAGACCUCCUCCAACUGCGUGGACACAAGAUCUGUCCACAAGAAGACAUCCAGCAGGGAAGUGCAGUUCUGUCUGAGGAGUGAGGGGGAAGCAGGCUCCACUCCCCUGGCCCAAGGAAGCCCCGCCUCUGGGGUGCAGAAGCCCCUCCCCUUGCUUCUGCUGGCAGGCAGUGGGAGGAGGCUACAGGACCACCCUGCCCCCAAGUGGCCCUUUGGAACCAUUCUUGGGCUUCCCUUGGGUCCGGGGAGGCUGUGUGGCCCCAGCAGGAGGGCAAGGUCCCUCCAUUCCCACCAGCUGGCCAGGGAGCACCCCCUCCUCCUUCCACCUUUCUCCCCUUCCCCAGCGUCCUGGCUUCCCCUGGCAGGGGAAGCACCAUCCAGGCAUCCGCCCCCUCCCCUGCCGAGGGUGUGCUCCUCCCCCCCUCCACUCCCGCAGCCACGCCUCACUCCCCCCUCCGCUCCCUCCUCCUUCCUCCCAAACCGGUGCAGCAGCAGAGGAGCCUGGGAGACUCUGGGGCCCCCCUGCAGCCCCAGUAGCGCCCCCUGGUGCUGCCCGGUGGCAGGCCAGAGAAUCCUCCUCUCCCUCCUGCUCCAUGCUGUGGCUGCACAGUGGGGAGCCCGAAUUCUCUGGCUUGCCCCCCCAUCAACCCCCACCCCACUGCCCGAUCCCCGCUUGCUGGGCUGCCGGAGUGGAAAGGGAGGAGGAACAGGGCAACCCCACUGACACUGCUUUGUGCUUCUUGCAGGCAUGUGCUGCUGCUGGGAGGCUGGAGGAGUCGAUCCGCCCCAGAAGAGGAGACCACGUGAACAUGCCUGCAAGGAGCGGGGGGGUGGGUGGGGGCUGGCUGGGACUCCCCCCAAUUUUGUUUGCCCUGCCAUUCCCUUGUUCCGUGUGACCCUGGGCUUCCUCCCUUCCCUCCCUCCUUCACCCUCCUUCCCAGGGACAGAAUGGGCUUUGCUGGUCGCCCUGUUGGGGGCCGAGUAGGAAUUUUUGGCUUUCCAACAGAUUGGCCAAGAUGGAAAGUUUUUUUGCCUACUCCAUUCUGUCCUGUUUUGUUUCCUUUAGUUAGAAAGUUAAGUGACGACUUGUAACCUAUUUAAGUAUAUUAAUAAAGUUGCCCCUUUUGUUCAAAACA
Long non-coding RNA from Hemicordylus capensis (graceful crag lizard), 1475 nucleotides. RefSeq lists it as uncharacterized. The transcript has 3 exons. Lineage: Eukaryota; Metazoa; Chordata; Lepidosauria; Squamata; Cordylidae. The record is from RefSeq and is a predicted model, not a curated record.